Molecule: small RNA, 1079 nt
Filed under: Pongo abelii (Sumatran orangutan)
Lineage: Eukaryota; Metazoa; Chordata; Mammalia; Primates; Hominidae
Description: retained intron
Source: RNAcentral
UUCUCGGUUGGCGCACGCCCGGGGCGGCGGCGCUGGAGGAGCUCGAGACGGAGCCUAGUUAUGUCUGGGAGGCGAACGCGGUCCGGAGGAGCCGCUCAGCGCUCCGGUGAGCGGAGGGCGCGCGGGAGACGUGAGGUCGAGCCGUUUGGGGGACGCAGUCCCGUGAAAGAUGGCCCUUCCCUCCCGCUGCCGCCGCCGGAGGAGGCACCCUUAAAAGGGCUUGUUUGGGAAUCUUCUCGCUGUCUCUAGAAUCUGUUCUCUGGACUCUAAGGUCUAGAGUCCUCCUCUACCACUUAACUUUUUUCUCUUUCCAGGGCCAAGGGCCCCAUCUCCCACUAAGCCUCUGCGGAGGUCCCAGCGGAAAUCAGGCUCUGAACUCCCAAGCAUCCUCCCUGAAAUCUGGCCGAAGGUGAGCCCCAGAUUUCUCACUUCCUCCCCUUGUGGCCCCUCACCUAAUUUGAGCUCACGUUCAUCCCUCUUCUCCAGACACCCAGUGCGGCUGCAAUCAGAAAGCCCAUCGUCUUAAAGAGGAUCGUGGCCCAUGCUGUAGAGGUCCCAGCUGUCCAAUCACCUCGCAGGAGCCCUAGGAUUGCCUUUUUCUUGGAGAAAGAAAACGAGCCCCCUGGCAGGGAGCUUACUAAGGAGGACCUUUUCAAGACACACAGCGUCCCUGCCACCCCCACCAGCACUCCUGUGCCGAACCCUGAGGCCGAGUCCAGCUCCAAGGAAGAAGAGCUGGAUGCCAGAGACUUGGAAAUGUCUAAGAAAGUCAGGCGUUCCUACAGCCGGCUAGAGACCCUGGGCUCUGCCUCUACCUCCACCCCAGGCCGCCGGUCCUUCUUUGGCUUCGAGGGGCUGCUGGGGGCAGAAGACUUGUCCGGAGUCUCGCCAGUGGUGUGCUCCAAAUUCACCGAGGUCCCCAGGGUCUGUGCAAAGCCCUGGGCCCCAGACAUGACUCUCCCUGGAAUCUCCCCACCACCCGAGAAACAGAAACGUAAGAAGAAGAAGAUGCCAGAGAUCUUGAAAACGGAGCUGGAUGAGUGGGCUGCGGCCAUGAAUGCCGAGUUUGAAGCUGCUGA